RNAcentral lists this ribosomal RNA (621 nucleotides) under Listeria monocytogenes. RNAcentral's name for it is "bacterial SSU rRNA". It matches the Rfam family "Bacterial small subunit ribosomal RNA", at positions 26 to 628 of the family's 1533-position model. Lineage: Bacteria; Bacillati; Bacillota; Bacilli; Caryophanales; Listeriaceae. The record is from RNAcentral.
AGGACGAACGCUGGCGGCGUGCCUAAUACAUGCAAGUCGAACGAACGGAGGAAGAGCUUGCUCUUCCAAAGUUAGUGGCGGACGGGUGAGUAACACGUGGGCAACCUGCCUGUAAGUUGGGGAUAACUCCGGGAAACCGGGGCUAAUACCGAAUGAUAGAAUGUGGCGCAUGCCACGCUUUUGAAAGAUGGUUUCGGCUAUCGCUUACAGAUGGGCCCGCGGUGCAUUAGCUAGUUGGUAGGGUAAUGGCCUACCAAGGCAACGAUGCAUAGCCGACCUGAGAGGGUGAUCGGCCACACUGGGACUGAGACACGGCCCAGACUCCUACGGGAGGCAGCAGUAGGGAAUCUUCCGCAAUGGACGAAAGUCUGACGGAGCAACGCCGCGUGUAUGAAGAAGGUUUUCGGAUCGUAAAGUACUGUUGUUAGAGAAGAACAAGGAUAAGAGUAACUGCUUGUCCCUUGACGGUAUCUAACCAGAAAGCCACGGCUAACUACGUGCCAGCAGCCGCGGUAAUACGUAGGUGGCAAGCGUUGUCCGGAUUUAUUGGGCGUAAAGCGCGCGCAGGCGGUCUUUUAAGUCUGAUGUGAAAGCCCCCGGCUUAACCGGGGAGGGUCAUUG